This 440-nucleotide ribosomal RNA is filed under the name uncultured organism. RNAcentral describes it as "bacterial SSU rRNA". It matches the Rfam family "Bacterial small subunit ribosomal RNA", at positions 346 to 779 of the family's 1533-position model. The record is from RNAcentral.
GCGCAGCAGUCGAGAAUUUUUCUCAAUGGGGGCAACCCUGAAGGAGCGACGCCGCGUGGAGGAUGAAGGCUUUCGGGUUGUAAACUCCUGUCAUUUGGGAACAAGUUGGACGCAGUAACUACGCGUCCAUUGAUAGUACCAGAAGAGGAAGGGACGGCUAACUCUGUGCCAGCAGCCGCGGUAAUACAGAGGUCCCAAGCGUUGUUCGGAUUCAUUGGGCGUAAAGGGUGCGUAGGUGGCGCCGUAAGUGGGGUGUGAAAUUUCGGAGCUUAACUCCGAAACUGCAUUCCAUACUGCGGUGCUUGAGGACUGGAGAGGAGACUGGAAUUCAUGGUGUAGCAGUGAAAUGCGUAGAGAUCAUGAGGAAGACCAGUGGCGAAGGCGGGUCUCUGGACAGUUCCUGACACUGAGGCACGAAGGCCAGGGGAGCAAACGGGAUU